This 377-nucleotide ribosomal RNA is filed under the name Acanthamoeba sp. RNAcentral describes it as "SSU rRNA". It matches the Rfam family "Eukaryotic small subunit ribosomal RNA", at positions 778 to 1096 of the family's 1831-position model. Lineage: Eukaryota; Discosea; Longamoebia; Acanthamoebidae. The record is from RNAcentral.
AAAUAUUUUUCCUGCCACCGAAUACAUUAGCAUGGGAUAAUGGAAUAGGACCCUGACCUCCUAUUUUCAGUUGGUUUUGUUUACAGCGAGGUUAUAUCAGGGUAAUGAUUAAUAGGGAUAGUUGGGGGCAUUAAUAUUUAAUUGUCAGAGGUGAAAUUCUUGGAUUUAUGAAAGAUUAACUUCUGCGAAAGCGUUUGCCAAGGAUGUUUUCAUUAAUCAAGAACGAAAGUUAGGGGAUCGAAGACGAUCAGAUACCGUCGUAGUCUUAACCAUAAACGAUGCCGACCAGCGAUUAGGAGACGUUGAAUACAAAACACCGCUGUUAAUCCUUUCGGGGGUUAAUAGUUGGUGAAUGACUCCCUAGCAGCUUGUGAGAA